Molecule: ribosomal RNA, 484 nt
Filed under: uncultured bacterium
Lineage: Bacteria
Description: partial 16S ribosomal RNA
Rfam family: Bacterial small subunit ribosomal RNA
Source: RNAcentral
AUUGAACGCUGGCGGCAGGCCUAACACAUGCAAGUCGAGCGGAGGAAGGGAGCUUGCUCCUGGAUUCAGCGGCGGACGGGUGAGUAAUGCCUAGGAAUCUGCCUGGUAGUGGGGGAUAACGUCCGGAAACGGGCGCUAAUACCGAAUACGUCCUGAGGGAGAAAGUGGGGGAUCUUCGGACCUCACGCUAUCAGAUGAGCCUAGGUCGGAUUAGCUAGUUGGUGGGGUAAAGGCCUACCAAGGCGACGAUCCGUAACUGGUCUGAGAGGAUGAUCAGUCACACUGGAACUGAGACACGGUCCAGACUCCUACGGGAGGCAGCAGUGGGGAAUAUUGGACAAUGGGCGAAAGCCUGAUCCAGCCAUGCCGCGUGUGUGAAGAAGGUCUUCGGAUUGUAAAGCACUUUAAGUUGGGAGGAAGGGCAGUAAGUUAAUACCUUGCUGUUUUGACGUUACCAACAGAAUAAGCACCGGCUAACUUCGUG